This is a long non-coding RNA of Xiphophorus hellerii (green swordtail), 2434 nucleotides long. RefSeq lists it as uncharacterized. The record is from RefSeq and is a predicted model, not a curated record. Lineage: Eukaryota; Metazoa; Chordata; Actinopteri; Cyprinodontiformes; Poeciliidae. The transcript has 7 exons.
AUAAAGCACAACUGCAAUGCCUUGGUCUGAAUUCCUUGGUUUUGUAAUUCCAGAAGAAGUGGCGGCAUAGUUACCUUGAAAAAGUAACUUAGUUACUUUACUGAUUUAUUUAUUUAUUUGAAAGUAACGAAGUUAGAUUAUAAGCUACGUUAUUAGUUAUUUUCAGCAGUUGCCAACAACCACCUGGAUAGUUGAAAGUAACUUGUAAUAUGAAUUGCUAGUAAAAAAGGUUAAUAAAUAUUAAUUUAUAAUAGUUAGAAUGAGCUUAAAAACAAUGUAAAUACAGUAAAAAGUUGUUGAAAAGUUAUAAUUUUCAUGUAUUAAUGUUUGUCUCGUUUUGUUCAAGGAAAUUGCGAUCUGUAAAUCAGCAAUCGGCUAGUAAGCCUCUUCUGGCAUCGAUUAGUAAAGCCUCCAUCCUCCACUGAGGUAUUUUCGCGCCUUUUUUAUUUGCACUUCCUGUUCUUGCCAUGCUGAUCACAAAGAGACAGCGAGGGAUCCUGGAGAAUUAGGAGGGAAAUUUAAAAUAAUCGCCACUGGAAAACAGAAUGAGCUAUUUUCACGGUGUCUGCUGCAAGCAAAGACGUCAAACUGCGGAGAUGAAAGGUCCAGGAGUGAAACAUCCCCAGAUGUUCCUCCUCAACCAGUACUGGAGCGCCACCUGGGGGACAACAGAGGAUCCUGAGCCAGGAGGGAUGGAUGGUACUUGAAGUGGGAUCUUGGUCAGAUCCAGGGAUCUCUUCCCAAUGGGACUGGAAAACCUUAACAUCAAAGAUGAAUCCUGAUGAGAUUCCUGAACUACUUCAGUUUACCUUUCAGUUCAGUUCCUUCUUCAAUGCAACAGACUAAACCAGAAGCCCAGUUAGCUCAGACAGAACCUCAUCUUACACUAAAUGGAUUCUCCAUUGGGUUAAAGGUCAGGGAAAUUUGCUGGCCAGUCAAGAACAGGAUCUCCAUGGACACUGAACCAGAUUUGGUACCUUUGGCGGUGUGGGUCGGUACCAAGUCCUGCUGGAAAAUAAAACCAGCAUCUUCAUACAGUUUGUCAGCAGAGGGAAUCGUGAAGCGCUCUAGAAUUUUCUGCAUAAACUGGACUUCAGGAAACCCAGUGGACCAGAACCAGGAGACAACAUGGCACCUCAAGCUUCACUCUGUACUUCAACCAACAUGGACGCUGUGCUUCUCCGUUCUUCAGACCCUGACACCCUGAUUACAAAAUGAAAUGCAGAGUUUUCUCUCCUGUGAAGAAAGGACUAUGGACCAAACCUCAACAGUUCAGCUCCUUUUCACCUUCACCAGGUCAGUCGGAUUUUUUGGGGUUGAAAUGAAACCCAUCAACCUACUUCUUCUGCUGUUCUUUGGACAAAUUCAAGGUCUCACUGAGAUGAUCCAAAAGUUUCUUCCAACUGGAAAAGAAUCAAAUAUUAGUUUCCCUGUAGAAAAGCUUCCUAAUGAUUCUACGGUUUUAUGGUUUGAUCAUUUAAGUAGGACCAUAGCAACAUAUAAUUCGUAUGGAGAAACUAAAUUGGAGCAGCUUUUCGAUGGAAAAGUGAAGAUUGCUGGACCAACAACGCUGACGUUUCUGAAUCCACAGACAUCAGACAGUGGAUUAUAUUGUGCAAAGGUGAUAGGAGAUAAACAUAAUAAUACAGUGAUGUGCUUCAACGUCACAUUUGCAGACCAAAAUACGGUUUCCACAGUUGCUGUUCCUGCUGUUUCUCUUGCUGUUCUUGCUGUUCUUGCCAUCAUUGCUGCUGUUGGGUUUGUUGCUGUUUAAAGAAGAAAUGUCAAGACCAGACAGAAGCCGUAGUCUUCUCUGCAAACUCUGGAACAAAUUCUCCAAUUGUCCAGAUUCUUCUGACAACGGAGAAGAAUCUGGACAACGGAGAUCCUCACAACAUCGAGGAAAAUGAUGGAGAUUCACCUGUUUAAAGCUGCAGAGAAAACCACAGACGUCACUCUGUGCUGCACUACAGUCCUCUCUCCACAACUUGUGAACAGCAGAAUUAGUUUUCCUGUAACUUCAGGUUACAGGUGGGGUGUUGUGGUGGCGCAGAGAAAACCUAAACUAUUGCUUCCUGUGUUGAGGAUUUAAAUUUGAACGUUUUCCUUUGAUGUAUGCAACGUGCUAGUUCGACGCUAUGAAGCUUACCCGAAACAACCUGCACUGUAGAUAACCGUCCUCCACAGCAAAUAGAUAAGAUCCGAUCUGAACGCGGCUGCUGUUAAUUUUAACGUUAAUUUAAUAUUUGGAAGUGUGGCCAACAUGGACUGAACGAUUUUGUUCACUUCCUCCUUUCCUAUUGCUAAAACUACAGACUACAAUUCUAAAACAGUUCAGAAAAUCGAUGUCUUCAUUCACAACGUCUCCUUCUAUUCGCUGAUUGGCCCUUAGGAAAACCAACUGGAGGGGUUUUUCACAAGCUGAAACUUAGAU